GCAUACGCUGUCAUCACCUCAGAGAUAACAUAGUGAUGCAGUGUUUUAAAUUGAUGUGGUUUACUGAAUCACCUGAAUAAUUGAUUUUAACUGUGUUUUUAUAGGAUCUGAGAUUUCAGAUUGAACCGUAUGAGAGGGAAGAGGACAGACCCAAGAGUAUUCUCAGUGUGCCCAUCCUGAACCACAAAAAGGAGGACUGGUCCAUUGUAUUUUGGCAGGUUAUAGGUGAUGUCAUGGCUGUGAACAAAAGCAGGCCAAGCACAUGUGCAGGGAGCUUUUUCUCAGAACAAGAUGAGAAAAUGCUGUCGUCACACAUGGUGUUGUUCGGACUGAUGCUGGAAAACUGUCAGCUGUGUGAGAGUUCUGAACAAGAGAGCAAACGCAACCAGGUGUCACACAGACUUUACUUUUACUUAGUUAGGCACUUUUAUCUA
This is a long non-coding RNA of Sinocyclocheilus anshuiensis, 434 nucleotides long. RefSeq lists it as uncharacterized. The transcript has 3 exons. Lineage: Eukaryota; Metazoa; Chordata; Actinopteri; Cypriniformes; Cyprinidae. The record is from RefSeq and is a predicted model, not a curated record.